UACGUAGGGAGCAAGCGUUGUCCGGAAUCAUUGGGCGUAAAGCGCGCGUAGGUGGCCAUGUAAGUCCGCUGUGAAAGUCAAAGGCUCAACCUUUGAAAGCCGGUGGAUACUGCAUGGCUAGAGUACGGAAGAGGCGAGUGGAAUUCCCGGUGUAGCGGUGAAAUGCGCAGAUAUCGGGAAGAACACCCGUGGCUAAGGCGGCUCUCUAGUACGGUACUGACGCUGAGACGCGAAAGCGUGGGGAGCGAACAGG
This 253-nucleotide ribosomal RNA is filed under the name uncultured bacterium. RNAcentral describes it as "partial 16S ribosomal RNA". It matches the Rfam family "Bacterial small subunit ribosomal RNA", at positions 524 to 776 of the family's 1533-position model. The record is from RNAcentral.